RNAcentral lists this ribosomal RNA (244 nucleotides) under uncultured bacterium. RNAcentral's name for it is "partial 16S ribosomal RNA". It matches the Rfam family "Bacterial small subunit ribosomal RNA", at positions 29 to 270 of the family's 1533-position model. The record is from RNAcentral.
AUUAACGCUAGCGGCAGGCAUAAUACAUGCAAGUUGAACGGCAGCACAGGUAGCAAUACUGGGUGGCGAGUGGCGCACGGGUGCGUAACACGUAUGCAACCUACCCUAUACAGGCGAAUAACCUUUAGAAAUGAGGGCUAAUACGCCGUAGUAUUACAGAUGGGCAUCUAUUUGUAAUUAAAGAUUUAUCGGUAUAGGAUGGGCAUGCGUCCCAUUAGUUAGUUGGUAAGGUAACGGCUUACCA